CUUGGUCAUUUAGAGGAAGUAAAAGUCGUAACAAGGUUUCCGUAGGUGAACCUGCGGAAGGAUCAUUAUUGAAUUUUUGGGAAGGGGGUUGUAGCUGGCCUUUCGAGGCACGUGCACGCCCCUGUCCAAGUUCCACCUUUUACCCCUGUGCACUUUGUGUAGGCCGAGAAAUCGGUCUAUGUUUCUUUACACACCAAAAAAAGAAUAUGGAAUGUUUUAUGUAGGCUUUUAAUAAAGCUGAAAUAAUCAUACAACUUUCAACAACGGAUCUCUUGGCUCUCGCAUCGAUGAAGAACGCAGCGAAAUGCGAUAAGUAAUGUGAAUUGCAGAAUUCAGUGAAUCAUCGAAUCUUUGAACGCACCUUGCGCUCCUUGGUAUUCCGAGGAGCAUGCCUGUUUGAGUGUCAUUAAAUUCUUCAACUUUGCCAGGUUUGUUUUGAACCUUGUGCGAAGCUUGGAUUUGGAGUGUGCUGGCUCUCACGAGUUGGCUCCUCUUGAAUGCAUUAGCGAAACCUUACGAAGGGGGAUAGGCUUUGAUUUGAUAGCUAUCUAUGUCAUCGCCGUGAUACCUCGUAUUUAAUAUUUGGUUCGCUUCCAACCGUCCAAUCAAUCUCUUGGACAAACACUUGUUUUUGACAUUUGACCUCAAAUCAGGUAGGACUACCCGCUGAACUUAAGCAUAUCAAUAAGCGGAGGAAAAGAAACUAACAAGGAUUCCCCUAGUAACUGCGAGUGAAGCGGGAAAAGCUCAAAUUUAAAAUCUGGCGGUCCUUGUGGCUGUCCGAGUUGUAAUCUAGAGAAGUGUCUUCUGUGCUGGACCGUGUACAAGUCUCUUGGAACAGAGCGUCAUAGAGGGUGAGAAUCCCGUCUUUGACACGGACUGCCAGUGCUUCUGUGAUGCACUCUCAAAGAGUCGAGUUGUUUGGGAAUGCAGCUCAAAAUGGGUGGUAAAUUCCAUCUAAAGCUAAAUAUUGGCGAGAGACCGAUAGCGAACAAGUACCGUGAGGGAAAGAUGAAAAGAACUUUGGAAAGAGAGUUAAACAGUACGUGAAAUUGUUGAAAGGGAAACGCUUGAAGUCAGUCGCGUUGGCCAAGGAUCAACCUUGCAUUUUUGCUGGGCGCACUUCUUGGUUGACGGGUCAGCAUCAAUUUUGACCGUUGGAUAAAGGCUGAGGGAAUGUGGCAUCCUCGGAUGUGUUAUAGCCCUUGGUUGAAUGCAACGGUUGGGAUUGAGGAACUCAGCACGCCGCAAGGCCGGGAGUGUAUCUCCACGUUCGUGCUUAGGAUGCUGGCAUAAUGGCUUUAAUCGACCCGUCUUGAAACACGGACC
Molecule: ribosomal RNA, 1329 nt
Filed under: uncultured fungus
Lineage: Eukaryota; Fungi
Description: eukaryotic LSU rRNA
Rfam family: Eukaryotic large subunit ribosomal RNA (bases 640-1329)
Source: RNAcentral